ACUAUUGUAGUUUAAUAAUAAAAUUGACAACUUGUAAUUGUCAGAUAAUGAUAGUAA
Molecule: transfer RNA, 57 nt
Filed under: Marshallagia marshalli
Lineage: Eukaryota; Metazoa; Nematoda; Chromadorea; Rhabditida; Trichostrongylidae
Description: tRNA-Thr
Source: RNAcentral